Prionailurus viverrinus (fishing cat) is the source of this 2585-nucleotide long non-coding RNA. RefSeq lists it as uncharacterized. The transcript has 4 exons. The record is from RefSeq and is a predicted model, not a curated record. Lineage: Eukaryota; Metazoa; Chordata; Mammalia; Carnivora; Felidae.
UUGCUUGGCGAGUUUGGCUUUGUGAAACAGCCUCAUUUUCCUAAUACCUUCUAUCCUUCUUGGAUGUCAGGCUUUGAUAGCAUUAGGGAGAUAAAUUAUGGUAACCAAACAUUUUUUUAACAAGUGUUAACUGAUGCUGUGUUACUAUGAUCUUUGCCUUCCCAUCCCGUCCCCGUCUUCAGGGUCUUUCAGCAUCAUUCCUCAACGCUGCGAGCUCUACAGGUGGCAUCAGAGACAGCGGAGGACUCGCAAACGAGCUGGGCACUUUCCUGGGGACUCUUCCUUACAGCAGCUGCUCCAGGAUGAGGCCAGCCAUCUGUCUCCUAAUUCUGAAAAGAUUCCGACAAAUUUCCUGCACCAGGUCGCACUGUCUCUCUACUUUUAACAUUGAAAGCUUCUCUUCCUUUGCUGAGCUUCUCUCAAAUAUGACAGAAAGAUGAAGGUUGCUUCUUUUCCAUGCCAGAGAGAUCUGUUGAAAUUUCUUGUCUUUGUGCCUUCAUUUGAGGUCCAAGCAUUUGGUUUGGAGAGACAUAAACUUUAUCAUAGAGUUACGUUCACCUUCUGGUUAUGCCAGAUCCCACUCUAGACCUUGGCCCUUAACUCACUGGGUCUCUCCUUGUGUGUUUUUAUUUCAGUGUCUGGACUUAUUUUUAACUGCUCAAAAGAGCUCUGCCAAGGCCUCUGGCUCAGUGCUGCUGAGGGCCUGGUCAACAGAGCAGGUGGUGGCAGCCAGCAGGAAGGAGCAUGAAGAAUCCACAUACUGAGCCCUGGGAUAACAUUCCUCACUUAAUGCUGGUCUACAAAUUAAUUACAGGUUUACUCUGGUUUCAAAUGUGCCAGAGAAGCUUGUCACUUAAAGAAGUUCAAAAAGGAAUUCUUUGUAAAGUAAUGAGUUUUGCAAGUAGGUUUUGCUUUGGAAAAGCAAAAUCUAGAACCAUCAUUUAACUUUUUGACAAUUUGCAUUUGCACCUAUUGGAUUUUCUCAAAGAAUGGCUCACCUCUAUUUACAAAGAAUGAGAACCUUCAGCAUAGAGACUAAAAGUCUUGAAUUUUUAUGCUUUAAUUUGUCUUCCAGUCAGAAUUAUCUUGGUUAUUUGCUCAAUUACAUAAACUACCUUGCCUCUUUGGUUUUGGAAAAAUGACAGUUGUAUACUCUUAGGAUGUGAUAAGAUUUGGGGCACAUUCCUCCAAGGUAACUUCAUGGCUUUUCUUUCCCUGUUCAGAGAGCUGGUUGUGGCAUGAGGCCUGGAGCCUGCAGUCUGGCCCAGUGAACACAGAAUAUCUUCUCUUGAGAAGACCCAGGAAAUUAACUCUGUUCCAUCUGCAUCAUGAACUAGUCCGCAGAGACUCUGACCUGGACCCACACUCUAGGGAUUAGGUUGCAGAGCACCCCAGAAGGAUGACACAGCCACUUACCUGGGCAGGAACACGUCCAUUCUGGCUCGCCUGAGGCUGGAGGUCCAGAUGUGGAUGAUGCUGGCUGUGAGGUGUGGCUCAACGUGGCUCAGCGGGGUGUCUUUGUCACGUGGCAGAACCAAGAGCAGACUCACUGUGUUUCCCAGGGCCUUAGAUCCGUUCCCACAACUGCAUGUCAUAAGCCUGAGGGACAUUCAGAUGUGGCCUCUUUCAGAACUAUGCUAUCGAUUCGAGGAACACAGAGGAAAGGAGGAAAUCUGGAGCUGGAGCAGGUCCUCUCGCCCACUGGUGAGUCAGGGCACAGCUGAACAUCCCAAGCUUCUCUCUCCUGACACAUGGAAGCUGGGCAUUUCCAGCAGUCAGGUCCCCUUCCUGUGCAGGCUGCCUCUGGAACAUGGCCCUUCCCUGCUCCUCCUUGCCUCUCCUUCCUCUUAGGCACAGCUCUGUGGUUAUCCACAAAUCUACCCCCACACUUUGUCCCUUCUUCCUGCACUGCCCUGUCCCUCGCCCAGGGCACCUGUUGGAAUGGAUCUCUGACCUGGCUUGGGGCCCAUCCACUCCAACACCCUUCAUGUCUCAGAGGCCUGCUCAGGGGACAGCAGCAGAGCCCCAAGUUGCCUGGCAAAACUUCUCUGAAGGGGCACAGAUGCCCCCAAUACACCCUGGCCGGGGCGCCCAACCACCGGGCUGCAGCCCACAGCUGUGGACAGAUUUCACUUGCCCAGAAAACUUUCACCACCAAAGCUGCUUGUUAGAAUCCACGACUGUAAAAAACAGACUCGGGUUGUAUAACUCAUGAUUUGCAGCCUGACUCCUUUGCUUUUAUUUUAAUGAGCAAAGAAAUGGAUGAAAAUAAUACUUCUUGUCAGGUUUUCCUCUACUGAGGAAGGUCAUAUGUAUUUAUAGAAUCAUGUCCCUGUAAAAUGUUGACCAUCUUGCAGGAACGAAGUGAGACGUUUCACCGGUCCAUAGUGUAGCGUGACCUCCCUUCUGCCCUCUCACCCAAUCUGGGCCAGGGGACCAGCUGUUCUUUGAGGGAUGACAGGCUACAGACUGUUCCUCCCCAGCAGCCUUGGAAAGAGGAACCUGUCACCGCUGGCUUAAUUCCUCUCCCUGCCCCGCCAGAGAGCGUCUUUCUUGCUGGAGGGCUGGUCAGGUAGAUCUUACAA